Molecule: ribosomal RNA, 497 nt
Filed under: uncultured bacterium
Lineage: Bacteria
Description: partial 16S ribosomal RNA
Rfam family: Bacterial small subunit ribosomal RNA
Source: RNAcentral
GAUGAACGCUGGCGGCGUGCCUAAUACAUGCAAGUCGAGCGAACGGACGAGAGGCUUGCUUCUCUGAUGUUAGCGGCGGACGGGUGAGUAACACGUGGAUAACCUACCUAUAAGACUGGGAUAACUUCGGGAAACCGUAGCUAAUACCGGAUAAUAUUUUGAACCGCAUGGUUCAAAAGUGAAAGACGGUCUUGCUGUCACUUAUAGAUGGAUCCGCGCUGCAUUAGCUAGUUGGUAAGGUAACGGCUUACCAAGGCAACGAUGCAUAGCCGACCUGAGAGGGUGAUCGGCCACACUAGAACUGAGACACGGUCCAGACUCCUACGGGAGGCAGCAGUAGGGAAUCUUACGCAAUGGGCGAAAGCCUGACGGAGCAACGCCGCGUGAGUGAUGAAGGUCUUCGGAUCGUAAAACUCUGUUAUUAGGGAAGAACAUAUGUGUAAGUAACUGUGCACAUCUUGACGGUACCUAAUCAGAAAGCCACGGCUAACUACGUG